Molecule: transfer RNA, 76 nt
Filed under: Crocinitomicaceae bacterium TMED45
Lineage: Bacteria; Pseudomonadati; Bacteroidota; Flavobacteriia; Flavobacteriales; Crocinitomicaceae
Description: tRNA-Thr
Rfam family: tRNA
About the family: Transfer RNA (tRNA) molecules are approximately 80 nucleotides in length. Their secondary structure includes four short double-helical elements and three loops (D, anti-codon, and T loops).
Source: RNAcentral
GCUGGCAUAGCUCAGUUGGUAGAGCAACUGAUUUGUAAUCAGUAGGUCCGCGGUUCGAAUCCGUGUGCCAGCACCA